Molecule: long non-coding RNA, 734 nt
Filed under: Homo sapiens (human)
Lineage: Eukaryota; Metazoa; Chordata; Mammalia; Primates; Hominidae
Description: HSALNT0014360
Source: RNAcentral
CCUCAUCUGGCCAACCAUCUUCAGCUGCCAAUGGACAAGGUGUCUUCCUGGUACUGCACAUGAAGAUGUCCCGCUCUCCCCUGCUCAAGGAGAGAGUGCCUGACCUGAGCUGGGCCCAUCAGAUCCAGUACUUACCUGGAAUAGGAAAAAGAUGGGGAGAGUGACCAAAGACUACAAAAAUCUCUGAAGCUUAUCUACUUGAGAGAGAGUCCCUGAAGAUACUGGCCUCUCAUUCCUGCUAUGUAUAUCCAAUGUGACUGAACUCUGAAUAAAAUAUACAAGUUAUAACAAUGUAGCAAUUGACCCAGCAAACGAGGACACAAACGUGUUGAAGGGGUGUCUACGGAGAAAUAGACAAGCGAUGCACGACAGAUACAUGUGUCAGUCUGGUCCCUGCAGUUGUAUUUGUAAUAAUACACAUUGGAGCAAUUUCAUGGCCAUCGGUUAGAGAAUGUUUGAGGAAUGAUCCUUUCAUAUCAAGAAGGACAUUUCAAAGAUCAAAACCUGAUGGAAAUGCUGGAGACCAUGGCGCUGAUAGGAGCUCAUGCGUGUUGUCCAAUUACUACGUGACAGGCAUUGGCUCCAUGCUUUUCCUGCACUGCUCAUUUAAACACUGGACAACCUAAGUGUUCUGAUUUAGCCCAUUGGACAGAUAGAAAUGGAGGCACAGAAGAUUAAUGUGUUUAACUUCAAACCCUGGCAGAUUAGGUUUUUCAUCCAGAGCCUGUGGCUUC